Molecule: long non-coding RNA, 1004 nt
Organism: Scylla paramamosain (green mud crab)
Lineage: Eukaryota; Metazoa; Arthropoda; Malacostraca; Decapoda; Portunidae
Exons: 2
Source: RefSeq, a predicted model, not a curated record
ACACAAGCCAGCAAACAUACGAACGCACACAAAUUAAUACCAGUGAUAGAAAAAGAACUUAUAUAGCAACGUAUUCUGAAACGCUUCAUUUGUUCUCUCACCAUAUUUUUUUUUUUUCAAAUGCCACAGAAAUGAUUAGCCGGGUUUUCAAUUGCGUUUCUCCUGUUAAUAAUAUAGAAAUCGUGUUAAUGUCACUAGAACCAUUAAAACAUCUUUGAAAACCUGUGCAACUUCAUUUAGAGUCUUAUCAGUUUAGUGGAGGUGCGGCGCAGAAGUGUUUCAGAAUAGGGAUCAUUGUCUCGUAUUCCUCCAGCCUGGUGUCCCCGCUCGGCUCUUUUCACGACUCGCAACGAGGGAGAAAGGUCGAAGUGCGGUGGUCUCGUGGCGGAAGGCUGAAGGAGGCGGUGAAGGAGUGAAGGUGUGAAGUGUGCAGCUUCCACUUCAUCAUCCCAUGAACAGCCCACAGGAAUCUCUACCAGCACCUGGUUAUUAAACAGUGUUGUCACGCCAGGCCCAAUGUACUCCAUUGCAAUCAGGGAGUCAAGCUUCACCAGGAAAAGAGGCAGAGCGUCACCACCUUCAAGCCCCACAAGAGGUAUUAAGUAUCGUUGGGACAAAGCAAUCAGGGAAGAGUCAAGUUGCAGUAAGAAGAGUGUGUCAAGAAUUUCAAGCAGGAAGAACACGUAAAAUUCCCUUCAAGUCAUGGCGGGACCGACAGGCAACUUUCAACACUUGUGGAGGCACGAGAGCUGCAGGCAGUUUCACAAAGAAGAGGUUGCUCCUCACUCAAGUUGAUGCAAGGACAUAAGAAUUGGCAAGUGUUGUUGCUCCCAGGCCCUGCUGCAAGAGUUCUCCAGUCCACUCCAGUCUGGGAAGGAAGAAUGUAGCAAGUCCCUCUCUUCUGUAUUCAACAACCACCACCACCACCUUCAUUCAGGCUUGGGAUAAGUUUUGUACAUUCCAGCACUUCAGUAAUAAGGAAAAAAAGUGCCAUGUUUAUAUUA